CGUAACAAGGUCUCCGUAGGUGAACCUGCGGAGGGAUCAUUACACAAAUAUGAAGGCGGGCUGGAACCUCUCGGGGUUACAGCCUUGCUGAAUUAUUCACCCUUGUCUUUUGCGUACUUCUUGUUUCCUUGGUGGGUUCGCCCACCACUAGGACAAACAUAAACCUUUUGUAAUUGCAAUCAGCGUCAGUAACAAAUUAAUAAUUACAACUUUCAACAACGGAUCUCUUGGUUCUGGCAUCGAUGAAGAACGCAGCGAAAUGCGAUAAGUAGUGUGAAUUGCAGAAUUCAGUGAAUCAUCGAAUCUUUGUACGCACAUUGCGCCCUUUGGUAUUCCAAAGGGCAUGCCUGUUCGAGCGUCAUUUGUACCCUCAAGCUUUGCUUGGUGUUGGGCGUCUUGUCUCUAGCUUUGCUGGAGACUCGCCUUAAAGUAAUUGGCAGCCGGCCUACUGGUUUCGGAGCGCAGCACAAGUCGCACUCUCUAUCAGCAAAGGUCUAGCAUCCAUUAAGCCUUUUUUUUCAACUUUUGACCUCGGAUCAGGUAGGGAUACCCGCUGAACUUAAGCAUAUCA
Molecule: ribosomal RNA, 571 nt
Filed under: uncultured fungus
Lineage: Eukaryota; Fungi
Description: eukaryotic LSU rRNA
Rfam family: 5.8S ribosomal RNA (bases 208-361)
Source: RNAcentral